GCGUGCACCGGAGGCAGGGUCCCUGGUGCAGAGGUGGCGGCUGCGCUGGUUUGUGUGUGGGGAUUGGCGGUUUCUGGAUCCUUCCUCCAGGAUUUUCAGCGCUGUGGAGCUCUCCUUUCUGCAGUGUGGAGGAGCGCUGGGCAGGAGGCGGCGCCGAGAAAAAGAAGUUGGAAUGAUCUAUCUGUCAACAGAAUCAUGCGUGUGUUGUGAGCAUUGGACGGCCGUGGGCCUGUCAGGCCGGCGCCCCAGCCCACCUGGCGCCACCACUUCCCUCCCUGAUGCCUCAAUGCCCCUGUCGCCAACACUCCCCUCCCAGAUGCCCCACUGCCCCUCGCUCCCCAGCGGCUGUGGACCUCUCUGGCCGGCGCCCCAGCCCUGCCCAGCGCUGCCCCUUCCCUCCCCGACCCCACACUGCCCCUCUCGCCCCAGCAGCUGUGGGCCUGUCAGGCCCGUGCCCCAGCCCUGCCCUGUGCCCCUGCCUCCCCACCCCAAUGCCCUGCUGCCCCUCCUGCCCUAGCGGCCGUGGGCCUGUCAGGCCAGUGCCUCAGCCCCGCCCAGUGCCACCCAUCCCCUCACCGACACCCCACUGCCAUUCCCUCCCCAGCGGCCGUGGGCCUGUCAGGCCGGCGCCCAAGCACCGAGAGCAGAGGGAAAGAGUGUCCAGACCUGCAGGGGCCAGGCUGUCAGAUGCACCGGUCUCACUACAGAAGUUACCCCCGCCCACUCCACACAAGGACCAGCUCU
This is a long non-coding RNA of Diceros bicornis minor, 744 nucleotides long. RefSeq lists it as uncharacterized. NCBI's taxonomy places the organism in Eukaryota, Metazoa, Chordata, Mammalia, Perissodactyla, Rhinocerotidae. The record is from RefSeq and is a predicted model, not a curated record. The transcript has 3 exons.